This 246-nucleotide ribosomal RNA is filed under the name uncultured bacterium. RNAcentral describes it as "partial 16S ribosomal RNA". It matches the Rfam family "Bacterial small subunit ribosomal RNA", at positions 1255 to 1500 of the family's 1533-position model. The record is from RNAcentral.
UAGUGAUAUAAAGCAAAACUCAAAAAGACAGUCUCAGUUCGGAUUGAAGGCUGAAAUUCGCCUUCAUGAAGUCGGAAUUGCUAGUAAUGGCAGGUCAGCAUACUACGGUGAAUACGUUCCCGGGCCUUGUACACACCGCCCGUCAAACCAUGAGAGUUGGCAACACCCGAAGUCGGUAGUCUAACCGCAAGGAGGACGCCGCCGAAGGUGGGGUUGAUGAUUAGGGUUAAGUCGUAACAAGGUACC